GCUUGGGGGGGUGCUAAUACAUGCAGUAGAACGCUGAAGAGAGGAGCUUGCUCUUCUUGGAUGAGUUGCGAACGGGUGAGUAACGCGUAGGUAACCUGCCUUGUAGCGGGGGAUAACUAUUGGAAACGAUAGCUAAUACCGCAUAACAAUGGAUGACACAUGUCAUUUAUUUGAAAGGGGCAAUUGCUCCACUACAAGAUGGACCUGCGUUGUAUUAGCUAGUAGGUGAGGUAACGGCUCACCUAGGCGACGAUACAUAGCCGACCUGAGAGGGUGAUCGGCCACACUGGGACUGAGACACGGCCCAGACUCCUACGGGAGGCAGCAGUAGGGAAUCUUCGGCAAUGGGGGCAACCCUGACCGAGCAACGCCGCGUGAGUGAAGAAGGUUUUCGGAUCGUAAAGCUCUGUUGUAAGUCAAGAACGAGUGUGAGAGUGGAAAGUUCACACUGUGACGGUAGCUUACCAGAAAGGGACGGCUAACUACGUGCCAGCAGCCGCGGUAAUACGUAGGUCCCGAGCGUUGUCCGGAUUUAUUGGGCGUAAAGCGAGCGCAGGCGGUUUGAUAAGUCUGAAGUUAAAGGCUGUGGCUCAACCAUAGUUCGCUUUGGAAACUGUCAAACUUGAGUGCAGAAGGGGAGAGUGGAAUUCCAUGUGUAGCGGUGAAAUGCGUAGAUAUAUGGAGGAACACCGGUGGCGAAAGCGGCUCUCUGGUCUGUAACUGACGCUGAGGCUCGAAAGCGUGGGGAGCGAACAGGAUUAGAUACCCUGGUAGUCCACGCCGUAAACGAUGAGUGCUAGGUGUUGGAUCCUUUCCGGGAUUCAGUGCCGCAGCUAACGCAUUAAGCACUCCGCCUGGGGAGUACGACCGCAAGGUUGAAACUCAAAGGAAUUGACGGGGGCCCGCACAAGCGGUGGAGCAUGUGGUUUAAUUCGAAGCAACGCGAAGAACCUUACCAGGUCUUGACAUCCCGAUGCUAUUUCUAGAGAUAGAAAGUUACUUCGGUACAUCGGUGACAGGUGGUGCAUGGUUGUCGUCAGCUCGUGUCGUGAGAUGUUGGGUUAAGUCCCGCAACGAGCGCAACCCCUAUUGUUAGUUGCCAUCAUUCAGUUGGGCACUCUAGCGAGACUGCCGGUAAUAAACCGGAGGAAGGUGGGGAUGACGUCAAAUCAUCAUGCCCCUUAUGACCUGGGCUACACACGUGCUACAAUGGUUGGUACAACGAGUUGCGAGUCGGUGACGGCAAGCUAAUCUCUUAAAGCCAAUCUCAGUUCGGAUUGUAGGCUGCAACUCGCCUACAUGAAGUCGGAAUCGCUAGUAAUCGCGGAUCAGCACGCCGCGGUGAAUACGUUCCCGGGCCUUGUACACACCGCCCGUCACACCACGAGAGUUUGUAACACCCGAAGUCGGUGAGGUAACCUUUUGGAGCCAGCCGCCUAAGGUGGAAUGAGA
Molecule: ribosomal RNA, 1452 nt
Filed under: Streptococcus salivarius
Lineage: Bacteria; Bacillati; Bacillota; Bacilli; Lactobacillales; Streptococcaceae
Description: bacterial SSU rRNA
Rfam family: Bacterial small subunit ribosomal RNA
Source: RNAcentral